AAAAACCAGCCUGCCUAGGAACAACGAUGAGACCCAAUAAGGAGCAGGAGACCCCAGACCUAAAAAUUACUAUUGGUCUGAACUACCGCAUGAGGGGCAGGAAACUUAAUUUGAAAAAGCUGUAAUUGCCAAGGGAUUUCUUUGUUUGGGGUCCCUCUUCGGAGGCACCCAACUCAAGCUGUAACUACUGCACGCGUGUCAUUACAAUUUAUUUAUUUAAUUUGCCUUGAUUUGGCUCCGAACUUUUCAGCGGGAACCUAGGGUCAGACCCUGCUCCAGUUGUAAUUACUGCACAUACAUCGCUAAAAUUUACACCCAGGGUGAAGAGAACCAACGGGACGCCGCUGGAUCCACGGGUGGUGGUGUGUCUCUGCAAGCGAAGCAACACUGGGCCAGCUCUACUCUUCGGUGAGAGACUUUAAAGGCUUCCCAGCUAGAAGUGAAAAUAUAAUGUAAAUAUAUGUUAUUAAAUGAGUUUGCAACUGU
Molecule: long non-coding RNA, 486 nt
Organism: Dromaius novaehollandiae (emu)
Lineage: Eukaryota; Metazoa; Chordata; Aves; Casuariiformes; Dromaiidae
Exons: 2
Source: RefSeq, a predicted model, not a curated record